Anopheles coluzzii is the source of this 1760-nucleotide RNA transcript. It is a transcript of the gene named odorant receptor 30a-like, with no coding region annotated. The record is from RefSeq and is a predicted model, not a curated record. Lineage: Eukaryota; Metazoa; Arthropoda; Insecta; Diptera; Culicidae. The transcript is spliced from 5 exons.
ACCAUAAAGACGAAAUUGUGCUUAACAAAUCAGUUGGUCGUAGAUUUGACAGUUGUUAAGCGGUGAUAGAUUUGUUCGUGAAGAACAUCCAAAUUUGCCCCAUAUUGUGCAUUAUCAACGAUACGUUGUUUAAUAAUUUACAUUUCUUAGAUAAACUUUACUGCAUCAAUGGCAAAUGUUAAAGAUUUUCGUAAAUUGAUGAAAUCUCUGAUUGUGUACUCGAAAGUGGCCGGGGUUGAGUUGUGGACAGCACCAGGAAAGUUCACGCCAGCUUCGUAUUACGUUUCGUUUCAUAUAACAGUAUAUUUUGCAAGUACUGUUUGGACACUAAGAAAGUACAUCGAUGAUCCAAUUCGUAUGAUGAAAGUCCUCAUAACGCUGGGAACUGCUGUACAGCUCUACAUUAAGUUCUUCGUUUGGCAUUCGAAACCCCAAGAAGUCAAGUUAUUUACCGCUGAACUGGAACAAGAAGUGCUUAAACGCUACCAGGACGGGUCUGAAGAGGAAACUGCUGUACUUAGACAUACAGGUCGUAUUCUUUGGAUAGUCUAUCGUAUAAUGAGUGCGUCAUAUAUCUUCGCUGCAGUUGCAUUCGGAGUGUAUCCUGCAUUUUAUUACUUUGUAACGGGAGUAGUGAUGCCUUUGUUUGUGUACGAGCUACCGUUCUGCGAUUUGAGUUCUUCUUUAGGAUACGCAGUGACGAUGUGUUUUCAGAUUAAUCUCUUGGUUAUUGGUGUUUUGGGAGCAAUACUGUCUGAUUUUGUGUUUUUCAUGUACGCAAUAUAUGCUAUGGCUAGGACAGAGAUUUCAAUAUUGCAUCUUGGUGAGCUGGAAAACAUGCUUAUCGACCCCAAUAAGAAUGAAGAACACACUGAGGAUAUACGUCGCAAGUGGGUCCAGUGCAUGCACGAUCAUCAGCAAUCAACCAGCUUUUUCAGCACGAUUGAAAACUUAUUCGGGCUUAUGUGUUUAGCACAGGUUGCAACAGAAUUUCUUUCAAUAUGUGACGCAAUGCUAUUAGUGCUUUUGACUGAUUGGUACCCAACAUAUUCCUACCUGUACGUGAUGUUCGUCCAAUUAUCAGGAUAUUUCGUGAUUGGACAUAUGGUUGAGAUAAAGGUAGUGUGUAGUAUUUUUGACAAACAUGUUACUUAUCACAGAUUGACGCAUUGUACAACAAGAUCAUCUCGUUGCCUUGGUAUAAACUACCAGUAAAAGAACAGAAGGAAUUUAGAUUUCUUAUGAGCAGACAGCAAUAUCCGAUGAUGUUGACAGCGUAUGGCUUUCAUCCCAUGAAUUUCGAGGCGUACAUGAGUGUGUUGAAGCGUCUGUACCAGUUUUUCGUCAUGGUCAUGCAGUAUGUUGGCUGAACCUGAAAAAUUGUUUUGGUAAUAAUUGUUCCACUUACUAUUCACCAAAAUAUGUGAUGCACUCAUGCAAUACCAAUCAUACAAAGUUAGUACACAUCUGAAAGUACACCAAAUCAUCUCAAAGAAUGCGUAGCAAAAGAGGUAAUAAAAAUGAAAUCUUAGACACUGUCUCUGUUAGAACCUAUCAACAGAGAAACCUUUAGAGUUUGGUGGUUCAAAGAGGAAUAAACAAACAAAAAAAUUACCGUAUAGUUACAAGAUUAUCAACCUUAUGAUUUUUGGAAUAAAAUUGAUUUGUGUUUGGACAAAUUAAAAGGAAUGUUGUUAAAAAUAUUAAAUAUUCGUAUAACUGUAUUUUUUCGUUCGUUUCUGAUCAACGUCCGUCUUCGC